RNAcentral lists this long non-coding RNA (2621 nucleotides) under Nicotiana tabacum (common tobacco). RNAcentral's name for it is "long non-coding RNA (NTAB_LNC000304)". Lineage: Eukaryota; Viridiplantae; Streptophyta; Magnoliopsida; Solanales; Solanaceae. The record is from RNAcentral.
UUCCUCCAAGAUCGGCUGCCCCCUUUCCCAAAGCUCUCUCCUUUAUCUCAUCCACUCAACACCCAUCAAUCCCAAAUCCUUGCAAGGUCACAAAAUUAAACCUCACACCACUCAAUCUCUCUCUUACACCAACGAAUCUCGCCGGAUUAUUUCCUCUUUCAUCAUUUGAUUCGAAAUUUCCAAAUCUGAAACCCUAGGCUCAAAGAGGAAAUCGUCUGAUUUCUUCUUUGCCCUUUCUAAUCAAGCAUGCAUGGCAAUCCAUCUUGUCCCUAUACCGUGAAUCCUAUUUUUUUCAUUUGCAUUUCCAUCGAUAAAAUUCAUAAGCCCCAAUUUGAAAACCCUAGACCCAAAAAUAAAACCUCAAAUCGUCUGAGUCCCUCUUAUGUUCUUUCAAAUCGGAGGCAUGCAUGAAGGUUUCACAGGCUUCAUCAUUGUUAUUCGAUAUCUAGAGGUCAAACGCAGUGACCUAUAGUCACUGAAGCUUUAACCGAUGGUCUUUCGAUUCAACGGUCGAUUUCUUUUCUCAAGUAAAACCCCUCACCAUUUUCCCUCUAUUUUCUCUGAUUUUACCUGUCUUGCUAUCAUCAUCUACUCUUCGUCAUCUUUCACUAUCUAAAUUCAAAUCUGUCGAAACACUAAGACGUUAAUGGCCACUAUAAAUAGGAUCCUUAAUUGCUCACCUUAAAAAAUCAACAACACCUAAGAGAAUCGAAUACAAUUUAAAGAAAGAAAGAAAAGAAAAGCUUUAGAUUUCCUCACUGAUUUUCACUUUCUCUUUUCCUUCUUUGGUUCAGAGUUCGUUUAUUGUUCGGGCUUGAGUUUGGAUUCCUAAACGGCUAAACGAAGCUUUUGUUUGGUUUGCUGCUCCGUAGAAGGUCAGUGUACACUGACCCUCCCUUUUCUUUCGAUUAUUUGUGUUUAUUUUGUGAUUCUAAUGUCUUCUCUGUUGACUUCCUUUUGUUCAUGAUAUAUGUUAGUAAUCUUAUGAUUGCCUGCUAUGUUUUCUGCUGUUCUUAUUGAUCUAAAAUGAUUAUUCUCCUGAUAACUUAUGAUUGCCCUAGUAUUGCUAGCUAAUCUGUGCUAAUGAAAUCCGUGACUUAACUAGAUAACAUUUGCUAUAGUAGAUGAUAUAAAUCCUGUUGAACUCUUGUCAUUAGCUAAAAGACUUCUGAUGUUUUCUAUGACUGUUUUGCUAACCAUGCCACCAUGCUUAUCUAACUUGAUUAAGCUAUGAUCUUAAACUCUUUCUUGACAUCCUGUUGAGAGUUUAUAUCUGCACAUCUGUGCUUAGUUUAGUGAUGUUGUACCACCUUUGAUUCAACUAAAUGACCUUCAUCAUAGUAUCCAUCCCACACACUUAACCUACCUGUUUGACCAACUAAUCUGUUACUAUAACUAGGCCUGCUGUAUAUACUUAAUAACUUACAUAUACUUGUUACUAUAACCCGAACUCCUGUAAUGAAUUCAUCAUCUUCAUCAUUUUAUUAUCUGCUCGUUUGAUGUGUCCUGUAAUCAUGAAAUCCUGUAGAAGCUUCCUUGCGUAUAAGUUGAGUGAAAUAUGUUAACUUUCCAUGCUUUUGUUUGCCCAGUUGUGUUCAUAAAAUUCCUGUUUGCUUUCAUAUAGGAAAGACUCAUGCCUAAGCCACUGUAUUCUUCACUUGGAAUUGCCUUGUAAAAAUAGAAUUUAAAGCUCACCAGCUUUAACAACUUAACAAUGUAGAAUGUGAGAUGGAAAGUUACUGUUGUCACUCAUAGGCUCAAACAAAUCCAUUAAUGCCUGCUUAUCCUGUUAAAAUGAACAUUGUUUCAUAUCUAGUUGAUGUCUUCUGUCUGUGUAGAUUUAGUUAUGAAUUUGGAAUAUUUGACUGAUGAUCUGAUGGACUAGUGAUCAUAUCACCAAGUUUAGACUAACUUAAAAUUGACUACUUGGCCUGCUUUGAUGCCUUCACUUAGUUAAACAGGGCUGUUAAUAUAGGCCUUUGGUGUAGUGAGGCCUUAAUCAUAUGUAUGUUUGCUCUUGAUUGUUUUCUCAAGACCAUUAUAAUGACUGUUGCUAUCUCGUAUACUUGGAUAAAGGUCCUGAAAUGUUAAGCCUACUGAAACUAAUUAGUACAUGCAUUUUCUUCUAUCAUUCACCCGUGCUCAGAUUAUCCAAUUAGAUGCCCCCCCUGAACUUAUAUUAGUCUACUGAUAGUUUUCCAUUAACUCUCCUUAUUGUACAUAUGUGACAUCUUCUUUAAAUAUUAUGACAUAUGUUAAUAAUGGUCAUUGAUACUAUAAGUGCUUGCAUCAAUCUGUCUUCUUGUGUUUAAGUUCUGAUCCUAAGGUUAAUAAUGUAAUCCUAAGGUGUUCAUGUCCCUGCAUUUUGAAUGAUGUUUUCUGUAACAUUUGAACUUCUUGUAAACUUGAGCCUUUUAUGUUUACUGCUGUUAAUUACUAAAGUGAAUAUCUCAUUUGUAACUAAACCUUUGGAGAAGAGUUAAUGUGAGUGAUUAAGGGUAUUUAGGUUGGAACCUAGUUUGCGGUUAACGUGCCCUUCCAGGACACAAACACUGCUCGUGGUCCCUAAGACCCUCGUGAACUCUGAUGUGCCAGGGAUUCAAAGGGUACCUUGUCCAUGA